UGCGUAGGCUGUGUGUUAAGUUGGAUGUGAAAUCCCUCAGCUCAACUGAGGAACUGCAUCCGAUACUGGCAUGCUUGAGGAAGAUAGAGGUGAACGGAACUGAUUGUGGAGCGGUGAAAUGCGUUGAUAUAAUCAGGAACACCAGUAGCGAAAGCGGUUCACUGGGUCUUAACUGACGCUGAUGCACGAAAGCCAGGGGAGCGAAGA
RNAcentral lists this ribosomal RNA (207 nucleotides) under uncultured bacterium. RNAcentral describes it as "partial 16S ribosomal RNA". It matches the Rfam family "Bacterial small subunit ribosomal RNA", at positions 568 to 774 of the family's 1533-position model. The record is from RNAcentral.